Molecule: long non-coding RNA, 1874 nt
Filed under: Marmota monax (woodchuck)
Lineage: Eukaryota; Metazoa; Chordata; Mammalia; Rodentia; Sciuridae
Source: RNAcentral
UAAUUGUUCCCUUUUUCUGACUUGGUUGAAGGCAUACAAAUUUUUGAGAGGCGGGAGGGGUACUGGGGAUCAAACUCAGGGGUACUGAACCGCUGAACCACAUACCCAGUCCUAUUAUGUAUUUUAUGUUGAGACAGGGUCUCACUGAGUUGCUUAGUACCUUACCUUUGCUGAGGCUGGCUUUGAACUUGUAAUUCUCCUGUUUUUCAGCCUUCCAAGUCGCAGGUAUUAUAGGCAUGUGCUACUAUGCUCAGAAAAGGUAUACAAUUUUAAUUACUUGUUCCCAUAAUGGGAUGGUUUAAUGUGUUUUUUAACCUCAGUUUGUCCUGUACUUGUUCCUUAAAAUAAUUGCUUGGGUUCAAAACAAUUUUGGGGGAUUGACUAAUGUUAGGGUAAUCAAGGUAGCCUGGGGCAACAACAGAAUGUAUGGGCAUCUAAGCCUGAGUGAAGCCUUCUAGCCAAGCAACCAAAAACAAACAAACAAACAAAUAAAAAAACAAAACAAAAAACAAGCUUUAACCUGUAAGGGUCCCGCGAAACGUCGGAGAAAGAGACCACCAAAUGACCACUCAUGCAAUUGGCAGAAGGGGAUUUAUUGAACCAGCAUGCUGGGGCUCCGUGCCCACUCAAGAAGGGAAAGCAGCCCAGAGCCCCGAGCAGGGGCUGAGCACUGCUUAAGUACACUUUUUGGGGAGGGCGGAGGGCUUUGUAUACAUCAGAACAAAUCAUCAUGAGGCGCGGGAAAAUUGAACAACAACUCCUAAACAUGAUUAGUUCAUUCAUUGGCAGGAACAGGUCAGGCUGGAGUGAUAGGUCAUUCCUAAGGAGAGUACACAUUCAGACUGAUUGGUUCAGGCCCUGCAAGGCCUACGUGCAACCACCCAGACCCCUUCAGUUAUUAAACAAUCAGACAAUCAGGGGAAAUGUUUACUGGGCGGUUCUAAGCAUUGUCUUAACAGCUACAGAAAUUUCAGGUUUUGCAGGUAGCAUAGAAACCUAACAAUACCUCCUUUACAUUUUAACUCAGACCUUGCAGCUUAGAAACUUUUACAACACCUGGUCUUUUACCCUUUAACUUUUACGCUUUAACUUCAAUUUCUUUUACCCUUACAAACCUAGAGUUUUAAUUUGGUGUGGUGGGAUCUCGUUCUCUGAGGCCCUUAUUUCUAUCUCUUGCCUCAGAUUCACGGAACUUCAAAUGUCUUAGACAAGAGUUAAUUCCUUGUAUAAGAAAUUUGGUACUGUAGAUAUAGUGCUUAAAAUCUUAUUUGUCCUGUUAGUUUCUGCCUUCAAGUUUCUGAAUCAGUUUGAUCAACUGGAAGAUACAAUUUUAGUUUCUUCAUCCUUUUAUUCAUUUAAUAAACAAUUAUUAACUGCAAACCUUAUUACUUAUUCCCAUGAGUGACUUUAUGAUAAAGCAAGUGUUUUCAACAACAGAAUUGUUGACAUUUUGGGCUGGAUCACUUUGCAUUGAAGGUAGGGGCUGAUCUAUGCAUUAUAUUUAGCAGCAUCCUUCCUCCAUUUUGACAACUAAAAAAUAUCUCCAGAAUCCAUCUAUGUAUGAUACAUCAAAGUAUAUAAGUGCAUUCUACUGUCAUGUAUAACUCAUUAAAACAAAUAAAAAAAUAUCUCCAGACAAUUCCAAAUGUCUCCUGGGGAGCAAAAUCACAGUUGAGAGGCAUUGGUGAUAAUGGGACAGAACUGAUGGGAGUUGGAAGUGGGGGUGGGAGAGAAGUAAGAGAAGUGACAUUUGGGAUGGGAGACAUGAAUGGAUCUGAGAUAAUAAGGAGGAAGAAUAGAGAAAUCUCUGGGACUGGCAAAUUGUGGGGGCUGCGGGAAAAGAAGGAGUCAGCCAGUACUCUGGUUUGGGCAAC